RNAcentral lists this ribosomal RNA (486 nucleotides) under uncultured bacterium. Its description in RNAcentral is "partial 16S ribosomal RNA". It matches the Rfam family "Bacterial small subunit ribosomal RNA", at positions 899 to 1397 of the family's 1533-position model. The record is from RNAcentral.
ACUCAAAUGAAUUGACGGGGGCCCGCACAAGCGGCGGAGCGUGUGGUUUAAUUCGAUGCAACGCGAAGAACCUUACCAAGGCUUGACAUGCUAGUAGUAGGGAGUAGAAAUACAAACGAUCCUUCGGGAAGCUAGUACAGGUGCUGCAUGGCUGUCGUCAGCUCGUGCCGUGAGGUGUUGGGUUAAGUCCCGCAACGAGCGCAACCCUCGCCGUUAGUUACACCUCUCUAACGGGACCGCUGGGAUAAACCCAGAGGAAGGUGGGGAUGACGUCAAGUCAGCAUGGCCCUUACGUCUUGGGCUACACACACGCUACAAUGGCCGGUACAAUGGGCUGCCAAGGCGCGAGCCGGAGCUAAUCCCGCAAAACCGGCCCCAGUUCAGAUUGCAGGCUGCAACUCGCCUGCAUGAAGGCGGAGUCGCUAGUAACCGCAGGUCAGCUACACUGCGGUGAAUACGUUCCCGGGCCUUGUACACACCGCCCGU